This 464-nucleotide ribosomal RNA is filed under the name uncultured bacterium. RNAcentral's name for it is "partial 16S ribosomal RNA". It matches the Rfam family "Bacterial small subunit ribosomal RNA", at positions 338 to 795 of the family's 1533-position model. The record is from RNAcentral.
CCUACGGGUGGCAGCAGUAGGGAAUUUUCGUCAAUGGGCGCAAGCCUGAACGAGCAAUGCCGCGUGAACGAGGAAGGUCUUCGGAUCGUAAAGUUCUGUUGAAGGGGAAAAAGAGCGGAGAGAGGAAAUGCUUUCUGAUUGAUAUUACCCUUCGAGGAAGUCACGACUAACUACGUGCCAGCAGCCGCGGUAAUACGGAGGUGGCGAGCGUUCGCCGGAAUGAGUGGGCGAAAAGGGUGCGUAGGCGGCCUGAUAAGUCUGGGGGGAAAGGGACCGGCUCAACGGGUACAGGCUCUGGAAACUGGCGGGCUAGAGAGCAGGAGAGGGCGGUGGAACUCAAGGUGUAGCGGUAAAAUGCGUAGAUAUAUGGAAGAACACCAGUGGCGAAGGCGGCCGCCUGGCCUGUUACUGACGCUGAGGCACGAAAGCGUGGGGAGCAAAUAGGAUUAGAUACCCUAGUAGUC